Molecule: non-coding RNA, 77 nt
Organism: Sarcophilus harrisii (Tasmanian devil)
Lineage: Eukaryota; Metazoa; Chordata; Mammalia; Dasyuromorphia; Dasyuridae
Source: Rfam
CCGGGCUGAGGUAGUAGGUUGUACAGUUGAGAAGGACACCUGUGGAGAUAACUGUACGGCUCACUAGCUUUCCCCGG